Molecule: long non-coding RNA, 348 nt
Organism: Oreochromis aureus
Lineage: Eukaryota; Metazoa; Chordata; Actinopteri; Cichliformes; Cichlidae
Source: Ensembl
AAGUGAUAUGACUGAGAGACAUGGCAGAAUUCCCUCCCGUAAGCAAAAGGAGAAAUAUGCCCUUGGAAUAAUUACACUCUUUCCCUCAUUGAAGGAUCCAUUUUCUCCAAACGGCUAUGAGCAUUUCUACGACGGAGUGAAAGGCACUGGAUAUAUAGCGUGGCGCCUCAAAACCAUGUCCAGGUCUACAACCAAACGGCCAGUGAAGGAAGUCCCAGUGCAUCAAGAACAAGGGCCUAAGCGCAGAAGAUUAGCAACCACAUUGCCUCAGCAACUUGAUGGAGAUGCCUGCAAGGAGGCCAUCUCAUUUCUUGUUCACUCUCCUGAUGAAGCAAGUGUAUUUCAGAA